UACGGAGGGGGCUAGCGUUGUUCGGAAUUACUGGGCGUAAAGCGCACGUAGGCGGCUUUGCAAGUUAGAGGUGAAAGCCCGGGGCUCAACCCCGGAAUAGCCUUUAAGACUGCAUCGCUUGAAUCCAGGAGAGGUGAGUGGAAUUCCGAGUGUAGAGGUGAAAUUCGUAGAUAUUCGGAAGAACACCAGUGGCGAAGGCGGCUCACUGGACUGGUAUUGACGCUGAGGUGCGAAAGCGUGGGGAGCAAACAGG
RNAcentral lists this ribosomal RNA (253 nucleotides) under uncultured bacterium. Its description in RNAcentral is "partial 16S ribosomal RNA". It matches the Rfam family "Bacterial small subunit ribosomal RNA", at positions 524 to 776 of the family's 1533-position model. The record is from RNAcentral.